AGGGGUAUAGCUCAGUUGGUAGAGCAGCGGUCUCCAAAGCCGUGUCCCUAUGUUCGUAUGGUAACUCAA
This 69-nucleotide transfer RNA is filed under the name Oscillospiraceae bacterium. Its description in RNAcentral is "tRNA-Trp". It matches the Rfam family "tRNA". From Rfam's summary of the family: Transfer RNA (tRNA) molecules are approximately 80 nucleotides in length. Their secondary structure includes four short double-helical elements and three loops (D, anti-codon, and T loops). Lineage: Bacteria; Bacillati; Bacillota; Clostridia; Eubacteriales; Oscillospiraceae. The record is from RNAcentral.